RNAcentral lists this long non-coding RNA (702 nucleotides) under Callithrix jacchus (white-tufted-ear marmoset). Its description in RNAcentral is "lncRNA (ENSCJAG00000063336.2)". The record is from RNAcentral. Lineage: Eukaryota; Metazoa; Chordata; Mammalia; Primates; Cebidae.
CCUUACUGUAGAUGACUUAUUGGGAUAUGAAAAUACCUGUAUUUUGAGAAUAUUUAUUCUCUUCAAGUUUAUGGUGUUUUGUUUUCUCUAGUUCCCACAUCUGGUUGGUUCUGUUUCUUCCUGGACAUCUCCUAGGAUGCUCAACACUGCUCCCUUCUAGGCUUCAACUCUACCUACUACAGGGAAGAAAAAAGGAGUGAAACUAAGUUUUGUCUGCUGUCUAAAUCUCCCACCUUUAGCAAAGAUCAGUGGCAGUGUAUUACCAGGAAGAUAUUUGUUUGAGGAAUUGUGUAAUAGUUAAUUGUAUGUGUCAGGUUGGAGGGUGUUUUUGGAUAAGAUUAAUAAUCUGUGAACUUCGAGUAAAACAAAUCUCACUUCAUAGUGCAGGUGGGCCGUACACAAUCAGCUGAAUGUGCAAAUAGAGCAAAAAGACCAAAUUUCCUGAGCAAGAGAGAAUUCUUCAGCAGAUGCCCUUGGAUUUUAUUACAUCACCAGCUCUCUUGGGUCUCCAGCCUGUGGAUACACACUACAGAUUUGGGACUUGCCGGCCUCCAUAAUCACAUGAGAACCAUAUCUACAAGGAACAUCAUUUCCAUGCCUACCCCAAGGGGUGUAGCCAGUGAAAGCAGUAUCUCCUGGCAGUGGAUUAAUUGGGAGAUGCAUAUAGCUUCAGAAGCAGAUGCUGAGCCUCAAAUCUGCUAG